Long non-coding RNA from Magallana angulata, 1366 nucleotides. RefSeq lists it as uncharacterized. NCBI's taxonomy places the organism in Eukaryota, Metazoa, Mollusca, Bivalvia, Ostreida, Ostreidae. The transcript has 4 exons. The record is from RefSeq and is a predicted model, not a curated record.
AAUGAAAAUAAAAUGGGUUUCAAACAGCCUGCACCACAGACAUAGAUAAACACGGUAUGGGUUAUUGAUCUGGACGCCGCCAAUGAUCUCUCCGCGUAAAAGGCCAUCUCUAGAGGGUCACCGUAUCCCGGAUUUAAAGUAAUUGACCCGACCCGACUAGACCGGAGUGGACCAACCAGCAGAGCAAUGAAUUAUUUGUCCCAACUAUUCGAGAGUUCCGCCAGCCAUUGAUUCCACGCUAUAGGGUUCAUAUUCCGAGUCGGACACUGGGAUACAUCAAGCUUUUCCUGGAUGCCAUGGUGACUACCGGAACGUUAUGCCCUCUGAUACUCUUCUGGACUUCACUAAUUCAUCUCGCCCUGUUACCCGCAAGUGUGUCACCAUUGAGCUGUUACCAAUGUACGAAUGAGAAGACAAAUAUUCACUGUGUGGACGAUUUCAACCUCCGAUCCUGUGACAAAGACACAUGUCAAACUAUUACAUCAUACUCAGAUGUAUCUGAAAAGCUGACUAUUCUGAAGUCAUGUACAACGAACGCGUCCUGCCACAACCAGAGGCAAGAGUACGAACGCUCCUGCAACGUUGAGGCCUCUGAUUGGGUAUGCGUCUACUGCUGUCACCAUGACAAGUGCAAUAUCCACAUCGCUUCCGGAACAACAUCGCCGCUGUCACCCAAGUCCGCGCUCUUAUCACAAAUAUUGGAUUACGUUUUUAUUUCAUUGCUAAUAAUUCCCGUGAGCAAAUGCAUUCUUGCAGAGACAUAAACUAUUUAAAAUCCAAUUUUAUACAGUAGGAAUAUAGGUUAAUGGUGGUCUUCACAGGAAGUGACAGUUUUCCCGAGGAGACUUACGAAUUCUCUAAUAAUUCUGACUACGAUCACUGAUGAGAUUAAUGUUCAUUUGUUACUGCACGAUUACAAAAUGUGCUUCUAACGAGCUAUGUCAUUGACAAAUAUGAUGAAAAAAUAGAAAAAAUAAAUUUUUACACUGGGCAGGAUAAUUAAUACCUAGCAAGUAAUACGCAUAGAUAUGUGUGUACUGUAUGUAUUUUUUAAGAAUUGCUUUGCUCAAAUAUGGCGCAUGCUAUUGAUAUACAUGUAAUAUGAAAAAGGCAUGUGGCAUGCACACAUCUUUACAAUGUAGAUUUUAAACGAAAAUAGCAUAGGCGUCGGAACCGUGGGGGCUAGGGGGAGGGGGGCUUAGCCCCCCCCCCCCACUUUUUUUUGCAAAGUUAGCCCUAACCAUUAGGCACAUAGCAUAAUAGAGGGUUCAGCCCCCCCCCCCCCCAACUUUUCUUGCAGCAAACUUAAUUGAUCUGAAAUUAACCCUGAAAAGAUUGAAAUAUUGAGUAGUUACAGCCCCCCUCC